AACAAAACAAAAAAAGGGCAAUAAAUUUUCAAUCUUCUCAAUCCCAUGCACCAAAAUAAGUUAGUGUGUUAUAUCACUAACAUUUCUUAGUGCAUGUACAUCUCAGCCUGAAGCCAGGACAUUUGCCUCCCAUGAAGCCCUCUUUUUGGCAAGCAUCUGCACAGCUGCUUGAUCGUAAGCAAAAUCCCUUGAAUUUCGUGCUCAGAGACUCACAAGUCCUUGACUCCACCUUUGUUGUGACCUUGCCCUCAGCAACCAUUGGACCCGUCCCUGCCAAACAUUCAUAUAUAAAAAUUAACGAGAGAAGGUGGAUUCAAACUUGAAACAUCUUCUAGCAUUGGAAAGAAAUAUACCACUAAUCAAAUAUAAAAAUAAAAUUAAAAUGAGGAAAGAGAGAGAUACCAAUAGCCACAAGGAGCAGGACGAGGAUGAAGACAGUUGAAAACACACGUCUAGAUCCCUCCAUCUUGAUUUUUGUGUGUGUACGUGCACGCGUGUGAAACAGAAAGAUAGACGGAGGGAUGUUGAAUGUUGAUUCAAGAUGCCUUGAUUCAUAGGUGAACCUUUCAAGGCCUUUUAUAUAGAGUUGUUAUGAAGCAAAUUAAGUACAUUUCCGUAAAGGGCGG
RNAcentral lists this long non-coding RNA (626 nucleotides) under Prunus dulcis (almond). RNAcentral's name for it is "sRNA ncRNA". Lineage: Eukaryota; Viridiplantae; Streptophyta; Magnoliopsida; Rosales; Rosaceae. The record is from RNAcentral.